UGGGAAGCAUUGUUGAGUUAGAGUGUCUCUC
RNAcentral lists this non-coding RNA (31 nucleotides) under Mus musculus (house mouse). The record is from RNAcentral. Lineage: Eukaryota; Metazoa; Chordata; Mammalia; Rodentia; Muridae.